RNAcentral lists this ribosomal RNA (707 nucleotides) under Bacillus halotolerans. RNAcentral's name for it is "bacterial SSU rRNA". It matches the Rfam family "Bacterial small subunit ribosomal RNA", at positions 679 to 1379 of the family's 1533-position model. Lineage: Bacteria; Bacillati; Bacillota; Bacilli; Caryophanales; Bacillaceae. The record is from RNAcentral.
CGGUGAAAUGCGUAGAGAUGUGGAGGAACACCAGUGGCGAAGGGGACUCUCUGGUCUGUAACUGACGCUGAGGAGUGAAAGCGUGGGGAGAGAACAGGAUUAGAUACCCUGGUAGUCCACGCCGUAAACGAUGAGUGCUAAGUGUUAGGGGGUUUCUCGCCCCUUAGUGCUGCAGCUAACGCAUUAAGCACUCCCGCCUGGGGAGUACGGUCCGCAAGACUUAAAACUCAAAAGGAAUUGACGGGGGCCCCGCACAAGCGGUGGAGCAUGUGGUUUUAAUUCGAAGCAACGCGAAGAACCUUACCAGGUCUUGACAUCCUGAGACAAUCCUAGAGAUAGGACGUCCCCUUCGGGGGCAGAGUGACAGGUGGUGCAUGGUUGUCGUCAGCUCGUGUCGUGAGAUGUUGGGUUAAGUCCCGCAACGAGCGCAACCCUUGAUCUUAGUUGCCAGCAUUCAGUUGGGCACUUUAAGGUGACUGCCGGUGACAAACCGGAGGAAGGUGGGGAUGACGUCAAAUCAUCAUGCCCCUUAUGACCUGGGCUACACACGUGGUACAAUGGACAGAACAAAGGGCAGCGAAACCGCGAGGUUAAGCCAAUCCCACAAAUCUGUUUUCAGUUCGGAUCGCAGUUUGCAACUUGACUGCGUGAAGCUGGAAUCGCUAGUAAUCGCGGAUCAGCAUGGCGCCGUGAAUUAGUUUCCGGGC